AAGUCGUAACAAGGUUGAAUUCACCCCGGAAGCCUUGUAGACCCAGUCCGCAUCGAAUGCGGGCAACACCAGUCUGUUGCUUGGCUCUCUCCGCCCCUAAUGCGGAGAUCACCAGCAGCCGCUAAUGUAUAGCGGUCCACAGAUCAAGCACUGGUGGUCGCUAGUCGAUUAUAAUAUGACCGGUCCCCCUUUACGAGGAGGAGGACGUCUACGUUCCGUAGGUGAACCUGCGGAAGGAUCAUUACCGAGUUAGGGUCUUCCAGGCCCGACCUCCAACCCUGUGUCUCAAACUACCAUGUU
Molecule: unclassified non-coding RNA, 300 nt
Filed under: Chaetothyriales sp.
Lineage: Eukaryota; Fungi; Ascomycota; Eurotiomycetes; Chaetothyriales
Description: partial contains small subunit ribosomal RNA and internal transcribed spacer 1
Source: RNAcentral